This 484-nucleotide ribosomal RNA is filed under the name uncultured bacterium. RNAcentral describes it as "bacterial SSU rRNA". It matches the Rfam family "Bacterial small subunit ribosomal RNA", at positions 30 to 507 of the family's 1533-position model. The record is from RNAcentral.
AUUGAACGCUGGCGGCAUGCCUUACACAUGCAAGUCGAACGAAGUUACACUUACGGAAGUCUUCGGAUGGAAGUUAUGUAACUUAGUGGCGGACGGGUGAGUAACGCGUGAGCAACCUGCCUUACAGAGGGGGAUAACAUUCGGAAACGAAUGCUAAUACCGCAUAACAUAUAUUUGUGGCAUCACAGAGAUAUCAAAGGAGUAAUCCGCUGUAAGAUGGGCUCGCGUCCGAUUAGAUAGUUGGUGAGGUAAUGGCUCACCAAGUCUACGAUCGGUAGCCGGACUGAGAGGUUGAUCGGCCACAUUGGGACUGAGACACGGCCCAGACUCCUACGGGAGGCAGCAGUGGGGAAUAUUGCACAAUGGGCGAAAGCCUGAUGCAGCAACGCCGCGUGAGGGAAGACGGUCUUCGGAUUGUAAACCUUUGUUAUUGGUGAAGAAACAAAUGACGGUAGCCAAUGAGGAAGCUCCGGCUAACUACGUG